GCAAUAUCUACUUGAAAGUAGAAAGCAUGCAAGAUAUAGCGUCUACGAUGAUGUAAAAGCUUUGCAAUAUGCACAGUAACAUAGUAAUGAAGACUUAUGAAGAAGAUAUAACCAUUAUGUAACAAAAUGGCGAAGCAUGCUGCAAUUAUUUUACGAAGAACUCUGAGGAACCUUGUACAAAACAUGUGAGGAUUUCAUGAAAUAUGGACACAACUUCAAUUUGAUUUCAUACGGAAGAACAGUAUGCGGCCAAUGUGGACAACAAAAUCGUUUCGAUGUAUUUCAGGGUAUUGAAUGUACUCGCUAACUAAGUUCAUACAAUACUCGCUGACAUCUUCUCAAAAAUGGCUACACAUAAACCAUAUACUGCUAUCGCUGAAGAAAACAAGUGCUUUGCUUUCAAAUGUCUCCUCGGAGAAAUGUCUCCUUGGGAAACGAAGCGCAUGGCUGCUUUCAAUUAAGAGACAAGCAGGGACCACGUCCACAUGGGCAGGAAUGGUUCAAGCAGCAAUUUUUGCAUUUGUUGGUCAUUCCACCAAUCUUGGAAGCUAAUUAUGCCAGAAAAAAUGUUGUUGUUCUGAAUCGUUUGAUUACCAAUCCAAAGGAACUUUAAAACAGACAAACAAACAUUUAUAUUUAAUGUUUACAAAAUAUUGUUGUUGAUGAAAUUUUGAUUAACAAACUUCCUUUGACAAA
Xenia sp. Carnegie-2017 is the source of this 696-nucleotide RNA transcript. RefSeq lists it as uncharacterized. The transcript is spliced from 3 exons. The record is from RefSeq and is a predicted model, not a curated record. Lineage: Eukaryota; Metazoa; Cnidaria; Anthozoa; Malacalcyonacea; Xeniidae.